Molecule: microRNA precursor, 185 nt
Filed under: Podarcis lilfordi (Lilford's wall lizard)
Lineage: Eukaryota; Metazoa; Chordata; Lepidosauria; Squamata; Lacertidae
Source: RNAcentral
AUAUUUACACACACACACACACACACACACACACGGAGUGGCUCUUCGCCUUCGUCCAGGGGGCUCUAUCCUUGAGCAAAACUCUCUGGCCAAAGUGACCCACACUGGCCGUGGGGAGGGCAGCAAAACUGCAAGGGGGCAGGAAGUAAGUGUGUGUGUGUGUGUGUGUGUGUGUGUGUGAUUGU